This 471-nucleotide long non-coding RNA is filed under the name Lathyrus oleraceus (garden pea). RNAcentral's name for it is "Pisum sativum (pea) long non-coding RNA (PSAT_LNC033512)". Lineage: Eukaryota; Viridiplantae; Streptophyta; Magnoliopsida; Fabales; Fabaceae. The record is from RNAcentral.
UUUCGGGAUAGUAACAGCAAUUUCAGGGUUAGCACCAGACAUUUUAGCAACGUUUGAUAACAUAACAGCACAAAGACAAGCUGGAUUCUGACCAAGUUUCUUAACCUGAGCGCAACAGCUUUGAGACACAUUAGCAUCUUCAUCAGAUGCUGCAUUAGCACAAGGUGCAAGCUUAAAAGCUUCAUUAUCUGGUGUUGUACCCCUUCCACAUUCACCAGCACUUUCAACUCCAUGAAUCCAAAAGCUUCAUUAUCUGGUGUUGUACCCCUUCCACAUUCACCAGCACUUUCAACUCCAUGAAUCCCUAAAACAAGGACAACAACACCAACAAGACACAACAACUUCAUAAGACCCUCCAUUUUUUCUUUUCUUAAUGUAUGUCUAUUGUCUCUUAGUGAAAUUAAUUAGUUCUAUGUAAGAAUACCAAGCAUUUGAUGGGAUUUUAUAGUGAUAAGAAUAUGGUUGGUCUAG